AGCUGCGGUGCCUGUAGUGGCCAGAUAACUGCGGGUGUGUCUCGCAAGCAAGUGGAAAUAUGAUGUACCAAGAAACAGUACAGGAAUGUAUAUGGAUCAGAGCUUGGACAACAUUUUCCUGAUGAUUUUGAGCAUCUUUCAAGGAGACAAGAUUCCAAGGAUAAUGAAAUACCAGCAGAAUAAAGACUGGAAAAGGUACCACUACUGCAUCCUCUAAAAGUGAGGAAGAAUUGGAAAAUCUCUGCUGUCUUUGGGAAGAGCAGAAGGGAGUAAACCCCAGCCCCUCAGUCAGCUGGUGAGACUAGACUUGCAUCCUUACCAACUAUUCAAAAGCAUCCUGGCCAAAAACCCAUUGCAUAUCAUAAUACUGAUGCUGAAUAAAACAUUUGCUCAGUUUUCCUCGGAUUCCUUCUCAGGAGGAAGGAGAUGUUUUGAGGUUGCAAAGGCAACCAUGUAAGCACAUUUCAGGACUGAGCACAGAGUGAAUUAAAGUGACACUAUAAAUACAGGAAUAUGAACUCAAACAAAGCAAAAAUGGAAAUAUCAAAACUUAUCUCCAU
Passer domesticus (house sparrow) is the source of this 560-nucleotide long non-coding RNA. RefSeq lists it as uncharacterized. The transcript is spliced from 3 exons. NCBI's taxonomy places the organism in Eukaryota, Metazoa, Chordata, Aves, Passeriformes, Passeridae. The record is from RefSeq and is a predicted model, not a curated record.